Molecule: ribosomal RNA, 446 nt
Filed under: uncultured bacterium
Lineage: Bacteria
Description: partial 16S ribosomal RNA
Rfam family: Bacterial small subunit ribosomal RNA
Source: RNAcentral
CCUACGGGUGGCAGCAGUCGAGAAUCUUUCACAAUGGGCGAAACCCUGAUGGUGCGACGCCGCGUGGGGGAAUGAAGGUCUUCGGAUUGUAAACCCCUGUCACGUGGGAGCAAACUAAAAAGAUAGUACCACAAGAGGAAGAGACUGCUCACUCUGUGCCAGCAGCCGCGGUACGACAGAGGUCUCAAGCGUUGUUCGGAAGUACCGGGCGUAAGGCGUGCGUAGGCUGUGGUGUAAGUCGGGUGUGAAAGGCGCGGGCUCAAACCGGGGACUGCAACUGAUACUGGGAGGCUAGAGUAAUGGAGAGGGGGGCAGAAUUCGAGGUGUAGCGGUGAAAUGCGUAGAGAUCGGGAGGAACACUCGUGGCGAAGGCGGGUUCCUGGACAAUGACUGACGCUGAGGUACGAAAGCGAGGGGAGCGAAAAGGAUUAGAUACCCUAGUAGUC